Molecule: long non-coding RNA, 460 nt
Organism: Lethenteron reissneri (Far Eastern brook lamprey)
Lineage: Eukaryota; Metazoa; Chordata; Hyperoartia; Petromyzontiformes; Petromyzontidae
Source: RefSeq, a predicted model, not a curated record
GUCCCGCGAUCGAAGGGGGAUCUGUCUCACGUUGUGCUGCUGCAGCAUCGCCAACACCAGCAACAGGCAUCGCACGAAUAUGGGUUUUUGUGACUUCUUCAUCAUCAUCAGCAGCAGCAGUCGCAGCCACGGGCGGUGUUGAUUGCGAGCAGGAACGCGACUGUCAGAACACCGCCCGCCCGGGUCGCGCUCCAGCUGAGAGCAGCCACCGCGCCCUGCACAGAGCGCGUGCUGCUGUCGCCUGCCCGUCAAACGACAAUUUGUCGAUCUCGGACAAAACAAAUGUUACAUGAUGCUUAAAUCUGGAUAGAAACUCGGAUUCUCGGCGCUGCUGGUGUGAAGUCUCUGACACUAACCACAGACAUUCUUACAACAAUCAUCGGUGUGCGGCUGCGGUCACCCAGAAUAGGCCGCGGGGCAUCACUUCACAGACACAGAGCAGGUAAUCACAGCAGCGACA